GCCGGAUUAACUCAGAGGUAGAGUAGCGGUUUUGUAAACCGAAAGUCAGGGGUUCGAAUCCCUUAUCCGGCACCA
This 75-nucleotide transfer RNA is filed under the name bacterium. RNAcentral describes it as "tRNA-Thr". It matches the Rfam family "tRNA". From Rfam's summary of the family: Transfer RNA (tRNA) molecules are approximately 80 nucleotides in length. Their secondary structure includes four short double-helical elements and three loops (D, anti-codon, and T loops). The record is from RNAcentral.